Molecule: long non-coding RNA, 1789 nt
Organism: Gallus gallus (chicken)
Lineage: Eukaryota; Metazoa; Chordata; Aves; Galliformes; Phasianidae
Exons: 3
Source: RefSeq, a predicted model, not a curated record
CAAUGGCACGCACAUGUAUGCAUAACAUGGAGAAUUGGGGCAGGUGGACAGAGAAUGGGUUCUUCAACAAAGCCCAAACCCACUGGGACGUUUGUCCUUGCUUCCAGAGCUCUCUAUCCCAAAAUAGCCACACCCCUCACUACUUUCACUCCCUUCCCUUCCAUUUUCACUCCCCUUCUGCUGUCUCAGUUCCCUGGGAGAAGGAGCCCACCUGGGAGGUGUCAGCUGAGAAAAGCUCACAGCUGAAGAUCUCGAGUCCACUGAGCAGCACUGGAUGGGAAGUUGCCUCAUUUUGCUGAGAAGUAAGUGAGGUUGGAAGAACUCUCCUGGAGCUCCUGUUAGCAGAAUGGAACUGGGGACUCUGUGCAGCCGAGCUCCAGCUGAUUGCGCGCAAGAGUUCAAGGCAGCGUGAUUGACUGCGCCUGCCCCCCGCCAUCUCUGUGAUCAAAUCACAUUUGCCUAGUUUAUGUUUCUCCCCUUUCUCUGCGUGAAAGUGUCAAGCAAACAAAGGAGAGACAAGUAAUGGAAGGGGGGGAAAAAAAAUAAAAAGCAAAGCCACGUGAGUACAAAGUGCUUCCAGAGACAUAAAAUAAGCAGUUGGAAAAAAUGGGGAACAAUAUUGCCUUUAAUCUCCAAGAUAACCAGGUGCAGUCAUCCUGGAUGUUACUACUAACAUCUGUGGCUUAAAAAAAAAAUAGAAAGUCAACCUGUAGCUGAGUCAUUAAGUUCAGAGUGUCACUGCAAGGAUGGCUUUAAAAACAAACAGGAAUACACAGCAUCUCUGAAAGUAAGAAGGAUUCGAGAGGAGCUUGUUAAAGUGAGAGAUGCUUAUUUUGUCACCAUUGUAGCGAGGGACAAAGUCAGUUCAGGGGUUGAUGGUUGAUUUCUGUUUUAUCUGCUCGCUUCAGUGAUGGUGUGAGCUUAAGGUACGUGUGAGGAGGCAAGAGGGCACAUUUGGUGGCCAACUACGCUAGGUUUUGAUCCAAGCAACUUCCUCAUGUUGUGAAGCAGGAGAAAAAUUAAGUCCAAGAGUGUGGCUACCAUUUCCAAGAUAUCUCAAUGCAACACCAUGAAAGCCACCUGAAGUGAACAAGAACAGCAGAAAGCAGAGUAAGGAUGGACCAAUAUUUCUGUUGCUGAGAGGAAUCCCCCAGCCCACGUGCUAGGGCAGCUUCAAGCAUUGACUCAUCUGCUGUGAGAGCAAAUCAUGCUCUGUCAGAGAGAGGUAUAAGAAAAAGUGCUGGAAAAGGGGAAAUAAUGCCAGGGCAGGAAGCUUGUGUGUCCUUCAUGGUAAACGGGAGCAGUGCCUGUGAAGACAGACCCUUCACUUCAACCACAGGGAAGAAGAGUGUUGACAAAGCACCCAUCUCACGCUGCUCUUCCAAUAAUAGCUUCUCUACAACAAAAGAGGCUGGAGAGGCUGUUCUCAACUAACUUUGCGAUGGCGAAACUUGUCCGGAGACCUUUUGUAUGCUAAGUUUCUUGAAUCCAAGCAAUUACAUGCACCUUCCAUAACCACUGUCAUUUCAAUCGACUGUACUCCUCGAGUGGAAAGGGUGGGUGUGAUGUACUGUUACAGAGGUUAAUAGGACACGCCAGAAGCCUCAAGAACUCUUCAGCAUUUCUAUCUGGGAUGUGCUAAGAUGGCAGUACUUGCAUGGUGAAUAUAUUUUUACUGUGCUUUUUUAUGAUGUUUUCAUUAUGUGCUUUUAUUAUGUGGUUAUAAGCUGCUAGAAUGAAAACAGGAGCAAUAAAGCUUGAUUGAUCAUUAUAUUCCCAUCUAUAAAUG